UGGUCCUAUAUGACCUACAGUGUCCGGCUUCAUCUCUCACCGUCUCUGUCAGCUGAUUAAUGGCGGUUUUCUUCUCUCCGGGGCGAGUCGGCCCGUCGUGUUUUCUUUGACUGAACUCGGCUGGUCGUCGCGUCACGGCCAAAGUUUUUAUGAGUCUGAGGUCCAACAGGCUUCAACAAUUUAGGAAUUUAGAUUCAAAACGAAGUCCCCCGACCUUUAAGGUCGAGCAGAUUCAGUCAGGAGAACGAUCACGUCGAUGCAGCUGAGCAGUGAUGAGUAAUAUAUGUGACUACGUCUGCCUCACGGGUUUGGGCUGAAUUUAGAAAAGACAGCAAAGACAAACAGCUAUUCAAAGACAUAAACAAACAAAAUAUUAACACAUAAAAUGUUCAAGACCACCAAUAAAGUUUUUAAUGGAUCAUAAAAAAAUGACAGAACGUUUAAAAAACAUCUAAAAAGAUCACAAAAGUUACAAAAUGACAUUAAAACUGACAGGUUAGAGUUUAUUUUUUAGUUGUGGCUGCAGAGCAGAUCAUCCACUGACUGGAAAGUUGGUGGUUCAAUCCCUGACUGCUCCAGUCUGUAUGCCAAAGUUGCUGCUGAUGCGUUCACAGGAGUCUGUUUCUAACUGUUCGUCUGGACUGAAAUCAUCUUUUAAAGCUCAGCCUUCGUUUAUUCACUGAGGACAAACUCAUAAGUUUCCUAAUGGAGCCAAAGAGUCUGCAGGCUCUCUGCAGCAGUUUAGCAACUAAUGAGCGACUGUCUGCAGGACAGAAGCUGUUCCACAGGAGCAGGUCCUCGAACUCAUCAACCCUGUUUCACUCAUGACGCUAACGCUGUGACUUAGAGAAAAGCAAAGAGCGUCUCUGGAUAAAAAUAGUUUUUGAUGCACGUAGAAUAACUUUAACUCUUUUCCCCUCAUUUCUGUUUAAUUUCAGGUCAGAAUAAAGUAACUGGGUGUGCAUCAGACAUCAGACCUGGAACCUGUUCUAAUGGCCGUCAAACCACGUCUUCAUUGGUCUGCAGGUGUUUCGAGCUUCUCCGUGAGGAGGAGCUAAAAUAUUGCUGACUGGCAGUGGAGGACGUUUCCUCCAUGUUCUGUGAGGAUCUGCCCGGUCCUCGCUUCCCUCCCCGUCACAUCCAUAUUAAUGCAGAAACACGGCGUGCAUGCGCAUCCCCGCGGGAGCCCACGGCACGCAUACUGCAGCUCGGAUCAGAAUCUCACCGAGCUUCAUUAAACCUUAAAGAAUUUGAACAGCUGUGGAGCAGCUGACAGGAAAACGUCCUCCCGUCUGACACGGGCACCCACGUUACAGACACACAGGAAACCUGCAGGAAAAUAACCUGCAACAAGUAAAAACACAAUAACAGCAUCAUUCAUUACUACAGGUCCAGACACGUCAUUAAAGUUAAACCUUAGAUCUGUGUAGUAUCGGCCUUUUUGUCCCAACAGCCUCUGUUAGUCCACAUAUUUGGUUUCAUCCUGAUCUCAUCAGUUUGUGAUGUUGGGAUUUCUGGUUUAGUGUUCAUGAGUGGACGCUGGGUCAGUGAAAUGGCUGGAAAACCUGCAACUGGUUUCCAGACUUCUUCAGUGGCAUCAGAACUACUGUGGGUGGCACGGUGGUGCAGCGGUCAGUGCUGUCGCCUCACAGCAAGAAGGCAAAGAGGGUUUGAACUCGUGUGUGGAGUUUGUUAGCCCUGCGGCAGGCCUGCCCAGGUGUGCUCCCACCGCCCGCCCUGUGACAGCCGGGGCGGGCUCCUGUGACCCUACAGGUCCUGUGACCGCCUCUGCUGUGCUCAGUUUAGUCAUAUUUCCUGCUGUAGCCAAAAGGACUUCAGGACUUUUGUGUGUCCAUAUUUGUAAGGAUGCAUUUGUUGGCUGCACCCAUGAAGAACUUGUCAAACAGAUUAUUCUGAUACUGAGUCUCGUUUGGAGUCGUUUGUUGGACUGGGUGAUCGAUCGGGACAUUUGAACAUGGGAGUCUAAGCUGACCGAGUCACUGCUGGAGCUUCUGCCGGACAUUAGAGGAACUGCAGCAACUGGAUUCAUCUUUCAGUCCCAGUUUUGUCCAUCUAUGUAUUUAAACUUAGUCAUUUUAUCUUAUUUUUUUAUGAUUUUUACCUUUUUCCACCAUUUGCGAAUGCCCGAGUCUAUACUUAGUUCAAAUCUAAGAAAAACUUGGGUGUAGUUUUGCCUCCAAGAUAAAAAUCUGUAAAGCUUAUUAGUAUUGUAGUUUUUAAUAUUUUUUCAGGAUGUUGGAGUAAAGUAACAGACAUCUGAAGAAAGUUAAUUCUGAUGUUGAAUUUGUCUUUUUGCGCACUUGUAAACAAGAAAGUUUUCAUGUAUAAUCUCCCAUAUUCACAUGUACAUUCAAAAAUGUUAACAUUUUUUUUUUUUACAUUUUAAUUGUUAAUGCAUUACGUCGCAGCUGGUAAAAUUAGGCAGAAUUGACCCAAAACUGCUGCUGAAAGGGUCCAAAUACUGAAGCUGCAGACACACGAGGGGAAUAAGUGGUUGGAGACAUGACCCAAAUUAUUGCACCUGUAUGUAAUGAUCUUGUGAUUAUGUUGCCUUUGAAAUGGUUUCUUCAGAGAUGUGGACCAUGUCUGCGACCACUCGCUGUCAGCUGCUGUCUUCAAAGCAACGUCAGUGUUUGAAGACAGUGGAAGUCAGACGCAGUCAGUUUGCUACCAACAGGCAACCUGUUUGUGAAAAUACAACAAUUAACUGUUUAAACUGGCGAAAACUGCAAACCUGAUGUCAUCUGUUGAUUCCAUCACAAACAGUGAUGUAGUUGCAACAGGACAGCAAUUUCAUUGCUAACUUACACGUGUGGCCGGCAACCUGGCUUUUAUACAGAAAUAUAACCAGAACACAAGCACAUGAGACACGUCGCAGGAGUCGUGCUCAUCAGCACAGACUGACUCAGACUGAUUGCAACAUGUUGCCAAUCUGUUUGGAAAUUAGUCAGCAAUUAUUUGCAAUCUAAAAGUGAUUGCCAGCAGUCAGAGGUGACUGUGAUUGUUUGGAGACAGGUUGCCUCCCACCACACAGUCUGUGCUCCCAUUGGUUACGUUUAUUGCUCAACUUUUGGAUGACCAGUUGGUCACUGCAACUGCUUCCAAUCAGUAAAUACAUUCAGUUCAUCCACCGGGCAACUAUUGAUAUUUCCCAGACAGAAGAAGGUUGCCGAUGUUGUUAUUCAUCAGCAAGAAUAUUCUGUCAUUAAAGCAUCAGAAGAUCUGAAGAUCUUACGCCGAAUGCUGCAAAAAAUCAGUUAAACAAAAGGUCAUUACUGAGAAUAUUUCCUUAAUGUGUCCGCCUGACGCAUGAAAACCAGAUUUAUUUUCAUCCUGUGAUGUUCAUCAGAUAUUUUAAAGACUUAACGGUCCAUAUAAAAUCAAAUCCAGGUCGUUUUGAGGGUUUUGGCAGCAUGAAUUAUCCAAAUGACUUCUUCAGCAGGAUACGCAGUCAACCUUCUUCCUCCUCCCCCCUUCCUCUUCCUCCUGAACCUCUUUGUCUCAGUCAAUAUAAACUGAGAGCUGAGACAUGUGGCAGCUCAGGGACUCUCCUUCAUUAAUAAUGAAAACACUGCAAACCCGGCUCCAUCAUCUCAAACUCAGCAAGCCAGAUUAAAACCACAGCACACAAUCAUUUUCAAACAGUUGUCGUUUUAUUUAAUACUCUUCAUCAUUUUAGCAAUCUUUUAUUUAUUUAUUCAUCUUUUAAUAUCUCAGUAGGCCUAUAAUCUGUAAAGUCUGGGAUAGAUUAUCUAUAAUAGAGUUUUUAUUUUCUUAAAAUCCUUUUUCAUAUACAUUUUCUCUUCUUAGAUGAUUUUCAUAAGAUAUUUUUUUAAACUCUUUUUGCAACAUCCCCAUAAACAAACAAAGAGACA
This is a long non-coding RNA of Oreochromis niloticus (Nile tilapia), 3896 nucleotides long. RefSeq lists it as uncharacterized. The record is from RefSeq and is a predicted model, not a curated record. The transcript is spliced from 2 exons. Lineage: Eukaryota; Metazoa; Chordata; Actinopteri; Cichliformes; Cichlidae.